This is a long non-coding RNA of Astatotilapia calliptera (eastern happy), 1473 nucleotides long. The record is from Ensembl. Lineage: Eukaryota; Metazoa; Chordata; Actinopteri; Cichliformes; Cichlidae.
UUUAGAUCAGUGCUCAUAAUGUGUUCUGGGGAAGCUGUAAAACAGCUAAUGUGUUGGAGGGUCUCAGCGGCUUAGAAUGCCGCUAAAUUGGACAGAAAAGCAGUGAGGGGAGUAAGGGAGUUGGAAAGCAGCUGAAGGAAAAGUGGAGAAAGGAGGAGAAAGAAUGGCAGGGGGGAAGAGGAGAAAAGAAGAGAUGAGUGUUUCUUUUUUUAAAAUCCUCUGCUAAGAGAGCCACAAAAAGAGAGAAUUACACAGGAAGAAAAAUUGCCAUUGUCGCAGACAGAGACAGUGGUAAAUGGCGCGUCGUUUUGCCGUAAUUUACAAAUCGUGGAGUGGAAACAAAAUUAGAUUAAGUGGGUCCGUUGAAAUGGACCUGCUAAACAUCACUAUUAACUAGAAAGUGCAUUUUCUGAAGAAACUGCAGUGUGAAUGCUUGAAUCUGAAUGUAUGCACUGAAAUGAAUUAAUUGCUGAAUUUUGAGUUAAAAAUAUUGAAUGAGAUUAAAAAAAACAAAAAAAAAAAACGAAUUUAACCUGAAAACAAAGGUGCUGAACUGCUAAAAGCUGAAGGUUACACAGAAGAAGAAGUUGGAAAAAAGCUGAAAAUGUUUUAAUUGUAAAUUAGAAAAACCUAAGAAAUGAGAAGAGAACAUUUAGAGUCAGAAAACAUCUGAAUGAAUAUUAAAAGGUCAUAUUCUUUGAAUCACUGAAUGACUCAAAUGUGAUCCCUCCACUUGGACCCACACAGUUUAAAAAGUUUACAUCUCUGAGCUUUGAAAGACAAGAUGUUGGAAAAAGAACAACGAUGGCGACGUUUUGAGGGUAAAAUGAUGGCUGUAACACUGUGGAGACAGCAGCAGUUGAAAGAGAAGUGUUUAAGAUGAAUCUUGGCAGAGUGAGAGAGAGAGCUCGUUAAGCAGGCAGGUGUGAGCCUGGUUGCUAUAGUGACCGCACCCAAUGGCUCCAUACACACGUACACAGACAUGCACCUCACUUUUGCUGCUUAAAAUGAACAGAAAAGUCAGGCCGAAACAAAUCGUUCCCAUAUGAAAAGUACAAGUCGUAUUGACGAAAUUCUUUCACCGUGAGCGACAGCAGCUUCUAGUCUACUGAAUUCUCAGUUUUCAUGCCUGUGGAGUUUAUUAUAUGGACGUGGUGACAGUGUAAAAACACCAUGCUCUUCUGAUUUUCAAACCAACCUUCUGAGCCGUUUUAACAUUAGAGUCUAUGGAAGAGUUGGAGGGAGGAGGCUGUGCAUUGGUGACAUUUAUGAAAGAACCAUAACACCUAGGACAAUAGUAAACACAUUGGAUGAAAGAGGACAGCCAUGGCUACGUUUUGAGGGUAAAAUCAUACCUGUAGAGCAAACGCUGUGGACACAGCAGCAGUUUUAAAAAAGAUUUUAAGAUUAAUUUUUUUGCUCCUCUCACUCUAGCAGUUGAGCUGCCUCACUCUAGCCCCAACAUUCCGUCCC